AAUUAAAAACCCUAACCGAGGCCAUCGAACUACGCAAACUGUCAGCACACUCUCAUCAGUUUAAGAGAACAUGUGUGACCAGCUCCAUUCAGGUGGAUACUCUCCUCUUCUUCACUAAAAUGGUGUCACAUCCUACAACCUCAUCAUCUGCAGAGUGAAACUGCCACUCAAUCACACCAAAAUACAGAUAAUGAUUAACUUAGAGGCAUCAUAGAGGAUUGUGAAGAUAUUUCACUGGCGCUUGGUCUUCAAUACACUAUUUUAUGUUCUAUUUUGUUUUACUUCUUUAAGCAUUUAUUCAUGUUCAGUGUCCAUUGUCAGUCAUUAAUGUAUUCUGCUUCUAACUGUUGUUAGAACACUCAUUUUUGCUACAAUUUCACGUCAUUAAAAAAAAAUAA
Molecule: long non-coding RNA, 398 nt
Organism: Onychostoma macrolepis
Lineage: Eukaryota; Metazoa; Chordata; Actinopteri; Cypriniformes; Cyprinidae
Exons: 3
Source: RefSeq, a predicted model, not a curated record